Non-coding RNA from Linepithema humile (Argentine ant), 1519 nucleotides. The record is from RefSeq and is a predicted model, not a curated record. Lineage: Eukaryota; Metazoa; Arthropoda; Insecta; Hymenoptera; Formicidae.
UGUUGCAUUCCGGCUGUCGUUAAGUAAAGCGCGAGUGUUACCGCCUGCCAUGAGCCGAGCGAGAGAUAGCGAGAGAGACACAGAGCGAGAGAGAGAGCGAGAGAGCGAGAAGCUGCGUCAGGCGAGCAGAAUAUCGAUAAAUUUUUCUGCGUCGUUGAAUCGUCAUUCGUUUCGCGUAAUUCCGCCGUAAUUUUGUUUCGUCGGGAGUGCCGUUAAUGCCGGAAGUGCCGUGAUGGUUUUGCAUGAAACGCGUACGAAACGCCGUAUUUUAAACGAUGCAUUUUCGCCAAAUGCUACGAUAAAUAUCAGGACACGAUCGAACCGCUUUCAAGGGGGGCUUUCUUCUCGACUUUUCGGCUCGGGGGAGGCGAGGAUCGGUUUUUAUCAUGGGAGGGGCCCUUCAGUGUCAGACAUGCCAACAUGUGAUGCAUGAUGCAUGAUUCAUGUUACUUUUUGUAUGCUCAAAAAAGCAUGCUGUCACUACUGCAUGAUAGUAACAUUUAAAUCAUAUGAUCCACGGCAUAGAAGUCAGCAUGUUUUGACUUGAGUUCCGUUGGUAUUGGCACCGAAAUGCUACUGAUAUCCGGUUGACUCCAUGACUAAUCGCACUUUAUUUCCUUCGAGCUUAUGCCUUCUGUUUUGAGAUAAUCGUGUCCCAAUUGAUAAAUGCAGUCGUCUUAAAAGCGGACGUAACUCGCGCGUAACGUUGCAACUUGGGCAGUUCGGUUCGAUUCGCCUGCGGGAGUGCCGUUUAAAGUGUCGCGCGAUUUUCGGCACGCGCGCUAACAAUGCGCGCAUCGCGAACGCGUGUGAGUUCGAAAGUCCGCUGGGAGCAGAAGGAGGAGGAGGAGGAGGGAGGGAGGGACGGCAUCGGGCGGUAGCAGAACGACGAUACGAUGUGACAUUGGCUGAUGGCAGAAAAUACAUUGACACAAUUGCCGUUUAUCUUUGGAUUUGCCUAUCAACGGCUGUGUGAUAGACAAUUUGCAAUGAAAGGAAUGAGACGAGCAACAACAUAGCGGUAAGUAGUUGUGAAGGCGGGAAGUCAUCGAAGGAGCUCCGGCAGGGCGAGAAGCAGCGAGGGGAAAACGUCGCGCACGGAAGGAGGAGCAGAGAAUGCCAGCAGGGUGCACGUGACGAACGGGACUUCCCUCCAGAUUCGCACGGUAAGAAUCACAACUAAUAUGGAUCGGGGCUUGCCGAGCAAUUGUCUGUCAACAAACCGUCAUACACGUGAGUACAACGGACGAGCCCCGACGGGGAAAACGAUUCGGCGGCAGCUCCCUCGUUACUCGCGUGCACAGACUCAAAGAAACUCCCACGACGCGCGCGAGUCCACGUCAGCCACGAAGAAAGGUCUUGCUAGGACGAUCCAGCCAAAGCAAUAAUGAGUCGAGAUUUACAAGAUUAAAGAAGUACAAAAAGCGGAAUAAUUUACACACGAAAACUUGGGCUUGAAUUGCGUUUUGGAUGUGAACGCGGUUGUUAAAAAUGAAAAUUUCAAGAAAUUGUUUGAGAC